UCUGGCGUGGCAUCAUCAAGAUUCACAUGAAGCUAAUUCUGAAGAUGAUCAUGAGAAUCUUGAUGAUGCUGCAUCGGC
RNAcentral lists this microRNA precursor (78 nucleotides) under Digitalis purpurea (common foxglove). RNAcentral describes it as "miR172b stem-loop (dpr-MIR172b)". Its record names the gene dpr-MIR172b. Lineage: Eukaryota; Viridiplantae; Streptophyta; Magnoliopsida; Lamiales; Plantaginaceae. The record is from miRBase by way of RNAcentral.